Long non-coding RNA from Xiphophorus couchianus (Monterrey platyfish), 122 nucleotides. RefSeq lists it as uncharacterized. The record is from RefSeq and is a predicted model, not a curated record. The transcript is spliced from 3 exons. Lineage: Eukaryota; Metazoa; Chordata; Actinopteri; Cyprinodontiformes; Poeciliidae.
UGGCCUGUGGUGAUGGCGAAUAAACAGUUUUCCGGUAACAGUAUGUUGUUUCUCCACUAUUGGCACAUUUAGCAGUGAGUACACAAGAUUAAUUGACAGCUCUAAGCCCCUCCUCCUGGCUC